GAGAAUCAUUUCAAUGGAGAGGUACCGUUCCAAAGAACCAUUUCAACGGAGGUCUCUGUAGUAUACAGAAGGUUGCAUUGCCCGAGCUCCAGUGGUAGCAAGUUAUUGUGAUGAGCUUGUUUUCAGAGUGUUCAUUUUUUAAUCUCUGUAUUUUCUCCAUGAAUUUGAAAUGUACAAGAAGCUGUUCAAAGAUUUUUCUUCGUUCGAACCGAAAUCAUGUACACAACAACCAAAAUCUCUUCUGGAAAAUCGCUAAUGCUGUAUAACGCCUAUUUAAUUUUCUCAUCUCGUUGUUGAAUUCAUGAUUACGAUUGCCUAUGACGAAAUGCUUAUCGAUAUGACUCGCGAUUUCCGAACCAAGAGUUUGAACGAUCAAUUGAAAUUUAUUUAUUAUAUCUUUUCCAUUUUCUCAUUUGAUGUAUUUAUAUUUUUUUUUGUUGUUCUUUUCUGAGAACUUGAAUCAUGUAAGGGAAUUCGUUCGUUCAGCCAUUAUGGAGGUUGAAGGCCGAGAUAUUCUCGAUGGUGGUAGAGGAAGUUCGAUUGUUGAAAAGGGACUUGUAUUGUACACCGGCAACGAUUCUACUGGAAUGCCUUCAUAAAAAGAACAACCUGAUACCACCUGUCUCAGCCUCCACUUUAACACUUUUCGGCCUACUCAUGAGAAAACUUGAAAUAUUCUAAAAAGAUGUGGUGUUUGGCAGCACUCAAGAAAUGGUGGAAUGCGAAAGACAUGGAUGUAGGUUCUGCUGGAACAUACAUGUACCUCAUUUUCUUAUAUGAUCCUUUUGAUUUCCAAAUCUAAAUUUAAAAAAAUGGGUUUCUAGACGAUGUUUCUUUCCAUAUAGUUAAACCUUACAUAACAAAAUAAAAAAGAAAAAAGGUGUUUAGUUA
Molecule: long non-coding RNA, 891 nt
Organism: Cucumis melo (muskmelon)
Lineage: Eukaryota; Viridiplantae; Streptophyta; Magnoliopsida; Cucurbitales; Cucurbitaceae
Exons: 2
Source: RefSeq, a predicted model, not a curated record